Molecule: non-coding RNA, 2679 nt
Organism: Nothobranchius furzeri (turquoise killifish)
Lineage: Eukaryota; Metazoa; Chordata; Actinopteri; Cyprinodontiformes; Nothobranchiidae
Source: RefSeq, a predicted model, not a curated record
CCUACUUGCUGCGCCUAGCUGCUGCGCGGUCUGACCGCUCGUGGAGUUUUUCAUGUCUGACUUUAACCGCAUCUAAUACUGUAUUACGGCGUGAGCGCAACAGCGACAACUUAAUAUCGAUGUGUAAGCAGCCUGAGUGGUAGGGUGUUUUCAUCUGAACCCUCCAGCAGGCUAUGCUGCACUAUUGACGUGUUAGCGCGCGGCGCUAACAACUUAGCAACGUGACAUGUCUCUGAGAAAGCGUAAAACACGGACGCUUCUUCUGAAGCGGAAAAUAACACCUCUUCUUAAGCAGAGCAGGAUGUCGCCUCGGCUCGUUCACGGCCGAGCCGGACUGAGCUCGAUAACAUUGACCCAGCACAGCCACUGGGUCGUUGUAGCUGCCACCAGGCCUGCUGAAGGAACUCCAGCGGGUUUCAUCAGACUCGUAAAGUUUCUUGUUUUUGCUGGGGAUUUCUGUAUUUUACCGCUCCCUCCUGCAGUCUUCCCCUAUUAAAAUUUAAAAUGUGUAACUUUAUGUAUUGUGAUGAAUGACUAAUAUUCAUGUUAAACUGAAACGUUAGGCAUUUAGGGGGAAAAAACAAAAUAAUAAACAUUAUACAGAUGUCAAAUAAAUCAAACUGUAAUUAAACUAUAUAUUUUCAAAGUCAUAUAGACAGCAUGAUGGUUUGUGUGAUCUGCGCGGUUUCACUUACACCCCUUUAAUGAUCAGGCUGUUUUUUAUUAUUUUUAUCAGCUGAUAGCAGUUAAAAUUAUGGUAAAAAAUAAUUUUAUCUGUUUUUGAUAACUUAAUGCCCAGGAAGAGCAUCUUCCUGGGCAUUAAAUAUAACCCAAAUGUUUUCUUAUGAGCAGAUCUGAUGAAGGUGUAGACAAGCAGUCUGCAAAGUAAAACUUGUUUAGAGUCCAAACUCUUACUAAAGCUUUUGAAAAGAAAAAAUGGUUGAAUUUUGAGAAAUAUCCACAACAGGGGAGCGAGACCUCUGAAAAAUGUAUAUUUUCUCUGAAUUCAUAGAAUAAUGUGAAGAUUCUGGGAAAAGUUGGGAUUCUGAGAUUAAAACGUAAAUCUUUCUAAUCAUAAUUCUGGCAGUUUUUGUGUCCUUCUGCUGUGGAAAGUCGUGCAACAUGAAGAUACUGAGAAGAUGCUUAAAACCUGUAUUUUUAUUCCAUCCAUAAAUAAAAUCAUGAGUUAUUUUUUUAAUCCAAAUUUGAUCCAAAGGGCCAUCGUUGGUUCCAGACCCGUUCUAGAACAUUCCUCUAAUCUUAAAGUCAUCAUCAGUUUCUUCCUUUUAACAAAUAUUUAUUUGUUCAAAUAUUUAAUAUUUAUAACUGGAAUAUUUGUUCCUCCCUCUCCCACUGCAGUUAGUCCUGUCCUGCAACCCUGUUUUUGCAGCUUAGUGAAGCCAACCAUCACUAACCGGGGGGUGGUUUUGGACCCAGAGAUGCGGAUGGACUCCCACAUUAGCCAGGACCUGAUUGGUGUCCAGAACCUGCUGAAGAAGCACCAGGCUCUGCAGGCUGAGAUCACAGGUCAUGAACCUCGCAUCAAGGCUGUCACCCAGAAAGGAGAGACCAUGGCUGAAGAAGGUCACUUCGCUGGUGAGGAAGUGAAGACUAAACUGUGGGAGCUUCAUGGACGUUGGGACACGCUGAAGGCCAAGGCGUCCCAGAGGAGGCAGGACCUGGAGGACUCUCUGCAGGCCCAGCAGUACUUUGCGGAUGCUAAUGAGGCCGAGUCCUGGAUGAGGGAGAAGGAGCCCAUCGUUGGAAGUCCAGACUAAGGGAAAGACGAGGACUUGGCCGAGGUAUGGAAGUCCCUUCCUGAGAAACUCCAAUCGCUUUUCUUUGCUCUCUUUCCAGUCCUUCAUAAUUAGUGUUUCUGUAUUUGUCAUUUCCUUCGGUUGUCAACCAGACGUCGUUGCUCGUUUGAGCGUCUCAUGGGUUAGGGGUAGAAGUGCUGGCCUCGCACAGGAAGUGAUGACAAACGUGUUCCCGUCGCUCUUAUUUCAAACGGUUUACAAGCUGUGAUGUGUGUUCCCGCUGCAGAGCAGCCAUGACACGUGGCAGCCGGCAGAAGGCUCACGCUUUUCCACUAAACACCCGCAGAGCUACGUCUGCGGUGAACUGAGCAGGGUUUGUUUUACGGUGGCGGAUCCGAUUGGACCAUCGCUGCGAGAAAGCUCCACUUGUGUCAGACGAGCUGAAGGUUCUGAUGUUCUGCUCCACAGGCUCUCCUGAAGAAGCACGAGGCCGUGAUGUCGGACCUGUCGGCUUACGGCAGCAGCAUCCAGGCCCUGAAGGAGCAGGCCCAGUCCUGCAGGCAACAAGGUGAUCAGCAGGUGCUUUUGUCCUGCAGGACCUGAAGGCCAACGAGUCCCGCCUGAGGGACAUCAACAAGGUGGCAUCUGAACUGGAGUCAGAAGGUCUGAUGGCUGAGGAGGCUCCUAUGGUUCAGGCUCAGGUGAGCGUCACCUGUCUGCAGCAGCUGGUCCCUCUCACUUCCUGGUUUAACUCUGCUCGUCUCUGUUUGUAGCAACAAAAACAUCUGGGUUCUGCUCCUGGAAAGGAUGAAGCCGACUCUAACACGGCGUCACCCUGGAAGACCGUACGGUUGGGCGUUCAGACGACGGCUAACUUUAAUUCCAUCAAGGUAAGAGGAAGCUCUUCCCUUCCUGUCUGAGC